This 212-nucleotide long non-coding RNA is filed under the name Elaeis guineensis (African oil palm). RNAcentral's name for it is "long non-coding RNA (EGUI_LNC038079)". The record is from RNAcentral. Lineage: Eukaryota; Viridiplantae; Streptophyta; Magnoliopsida; Arecales; Arecaceae.
AAUAUGUGCUCAUGCAUAGCACCUAUCUUAAAUAUCAUUGUCCACCCACUCAUCAAGUAUAGCUCGUUGAAUAUGGGUUGGACAAGUCGUUAACAAUAGAAUAAUCUAGUAGAAAAUAUUGCUUAAUUUUCUAAAUAGAGAACAAUUCUUAAGUUUGUGAGCCAGUCUAAGUAAUCAGUUUCGGUUAAUCGGUUAAUAUCUAAGAUUCAAGC